CAACUCACUGAGUGCCUAUUGUUCAUCCACGCAGUUGUAGCAGAGCUGUUGGCUCCCCGCGGAUUCUUGACUCGAGUCAGUGGCCCAAACCCCUGUGUUAGCUGGGGAUCCAAGCAGAGUCAUCAUUCAGAACAUAACUGACAUCUCAAAAAUCCUCUUAUAUAUUUGAUAAGGAAAUAAAUUACGAUGCAAUAUACAGAUCCUUAUAAAAUGAACCAGCCUUAACUUGGGGCGCAGUUCCUAUGGAAAUCAAGCCACAUUAAGAAACGGCAAUCAAAACAGCACCCCACAUGGGCUCCUGGCCAACAUCAUCUUUUGCCAACAUCAAAAGUAUUCUUUGUUAUUUCCUUCUUGCAACCAUCCCAAGUUUGAGUACUUGGGAUUGACUGGAAUUGCAAAACCAUGUCUAUGCUUAUGGUUUUUAUUCAUCAGUAAGCAUCUU
This is a long non-coding RNA of Physeter macrocephalus (sperm whale), 442 nucleotides long. RefSeq lists it as uncharacterized. Lineage: Eukaryota; Metazoa; Chordata; Mammalia; Artiodactyla; Physeteridae. The transcript has 3 exons. The record is from RefSeq and is a predicted model, not a curated record.